UACGGUGGGGGUAAGCGUUGUUCGGAAUUACUGGGCGUAAAGGGCUCGUAGGCGGCCAACUAAGUCGGACGUGAAAUCCCUCAGCUUAACUGGGGAACUGCGUCCGAUACUGGAUGGCUUGGAUUUGGGAGAGGGAUGCGGAAUUCCAGGUGUAGCGGUGAAAUGCGUAGAUAUCUGGAGGAACACCGGUGGCGAAGGCGGCAUCCUGGACCAACAUUGACGCUGAGGAGCGAAAGCUAGGGGAGCAAACGGG
RNAcentral lists this ribosomal RNA (253 nucleotides) under uncultured bacterium. RNAcentral's name for it is "partial 16S ribosomal RNA". It matches the Rfam family "Bacterial small subunit ribosomal RNA", at positions 524 to 776 of the family's 1533-position model. The record is from RNAcentral.